RNAcentral lists this ribosomal RNA (253 nucleotides) under uncultured bacterium. RNAcentral's name for it is "partial 16S ribosomal RNA". It matches the Rfam family "Bacterial small subunit ribosomal RNA", at positions 524 to 776 of the family's 1533-position model. The record is from RNAcentral.
UACGUAGGGUGCGAGCGUUAAUCGGAAUUACUGGGCGUAAAGCGUGCGCAGGCGGCUUGCCAAGUCAGAUGUGAAAGCCCCGGGCUCAACCCGGGAAUGGCGUUUGAAACUGGCAGGCUAGAGUUUGGCAGAGGGGGGUGGAGUUCCACGUGUAGCAGUGAAAUGCGUAGAGAUGUGGAGGAACACCGAUGGCGAAGGCAGCCCCCUGGGCCAAAACUGACGCUCAGGCACGAAAGCGUGGGGAGCGAACGGG